UAGGGAAUCUUCCGCAAUGGACGAAAGUCUGACGGAGCAACGCCGCGUGAGUGAAGAAGGAUUUCGGUUCGUAAAACUCUGUUGUUAGGGAAGAAAAAAUGUAUAGUAACUAUAUACAAAAGAGACGGUACCUAACCAGAAAGCCACGGCUAACUACGUGCCAGCAGCCGCGGUAAUACGUAGGUGGCAAGCGUUGUCCGGAAUUAUUGUGCGUAAAGCGCGCGCAGGUGGUUUAGAAAGUCUGAUGUGAAAGCCCACGGCUCAACCGUGGAGGGUCAUUGGAAACUAAUAAACUUGAGUGCAGGAGAGAAAAGUGGAAUUCCUAGUGUAGCGGUGAAAUGCGUAGAGAUUAGGAGGAACACCGGUGGCGAAAGCGGCUUUUUGGCCUGCAACUGACACUGAGGCGCGAAAGCGUGGGGAGCAAACAGG
RNAcentral lists this ribosomal RNA (429 nucleotides) under Verrucomicrobiota bacterium. Its description in RNAcentral is "Verrucomicrobia bacterium partial 16S ribosomal RNA". It matches the Rfam family "Bacterial small subunit ribosomal RNA", at positions 355 to 776 of the family's 1533-position model. The record is from RNAcentral. Lineage: Bacteria; Pseudomonadati; Verrucomicrobiota.